Molecule: non-coding RNA, 66 nt
Organism: Nematostella vectensis (starlet sea anemone)
Lineage: Eukaryota; Metazoa; Cnidaria; Anthozoa; Actiniaria; Edwardsiidae
Source: Rfam
GACUCCGUGGCGCAAUGGUACCGCGUCUGACUCUAGAGGUUGCGUUUUCAAAUCACGUCGGGGUCA